UCUCAAAGAAAGGGCUGUAACCAC
Molecule: non-coding RNA, 24 nt
Filed under: Cricetulus griseus (Chinese hamster)
Lineage: Eukaryota; Metazoa; Chordata; Mammalia; Rodentia; Cricetidae
Source: RNAcentral